CCCUCUUUUUCUUUCAGCAGCCGGUCAUUUCAUCUGCAAGGAGGGACACCAGAAAGGUUAUGAAUGGAGAAGAAAUGCAGUAUUACCUUCUCUAUGGAAGGGAGAGAUGGGUCGUACCAUCACGGAUAAAACACUGGGAAAGGAACUGACUGGGAAAGCAUCAGCUAUAACGCAGCCAAAAUACUUCUUCCCAUCCCAACACCUGGGAGAGGAAUGAAUAGAUCGCCCCGGGAAACUUCUGCCCGAUUGAUGACUAAAGGCAAAUACAUGUCGGGAUGACGGGCAAAGAGAAGAAUGAAAAUCCCCGAAGUAUCCAAAGGGUCGCUUACAGCAGGGAGGCUCGCGAGGAGGGCAGCCAGCGCGGCACAUCGAACCUUACAGCCAAGCGCUGUGCCCAGAAGCCGUGCCGCAACGCCGUGCCCCCAGCCGGCUGUCAGAGCGAGGACCCGCCCCAGCGAGCCGGCGACAAACCUGCUUCAAGCCUGUCACCCCGUAUGCUUCACAGCGAGGUGCGGCGGGGGCAG
Meleagris gallopavo (turkey) is the source of this 524-nucleotide non-coding RNA. The record is from RefSeq and is a predicted model, not a curated record. Lineage: Eukaryota; Metazoa; Chordata; Aves; Galliformes; Phasianidae.